RNAcentral lists this unclassified non-coding RNA (200 nucleotides) under soil metagenome. Its description in RNAcentral is "partial contains 5.8S ribosomal RNA, internal transcribed spacer 2, and large subunit ribosomal RNA". The record is from RNAcentral.
CCUCGGAAGCAUGCCUCUCUGAGUAUCGGUUUCUAUAUCUCACCAGAUGCGAGUGGUGGAAAAUGAGAGUCGCGGCCCUCGCGUCCCUUGAAAUUAUCUUGUCGGCACAAGUCCAUCGGAUUCUUGGAACGAUAAUCCGCCAUGCGCCCAAACCAUACACACAAGAUCUCAGAUGAGGUAAGACUACCCGCCGAAUUUAA